GCCAGGUGCAGGGCACAUGCCUGUAUUCCCAGCGGCUUGGAGGCUGAGGCAGGAGGAUCACAAGUUCAAAGUCAGCCUCAACAAUAGUGAGGCUCUGAGCAACUCAAGUGAGACCCUGUCUCUA
Molecule: small RNA, 124 nt
Filed under: Marmota monax (woodchuck)
Lineage: Eukaryota; Metazoa; Chordata; Mammalia; Rodentia; Sciuridae
Source: RNAcentral